AGACGCACACACUGGAAAACCAGCACCUGGACUUCAUGCAGGAGAGACGGCCUCAGUGAUAAUUCAUCAGCAGCUGUGGAGAGAUGCAUUUGAAUAUCUUCUGGUUCCACUUUUCCUUACCUGGAAGCUGAGUAUUGCUGAUUUCUGACAAGGACACAAACCUCAGUGCUUAUCAUGGGUGUUACAUCCUCUGUGCAGCAAUUCCAGAGAAAACGAGAGAGCAACGACCACUCAUUAAGACCAGCCAGAAAUCUGUCCCUUUCUGGCAGCUGUGGAAACUUCCAAUAAUAAAGUUUGCAUUCUUAGAACAACGCUGGAUCAUGUGUGAUGUGUCAUCAUAUGAGGAUAUUACAUUUUGCCUUAAUUCUGCUCAAUUAAGUGUUUUGA
Molecule: long non-coding RNA, 387 nt
Organism: Oreochromis niloticus (Nile tilapia)
Lineage: Eukaryota; Metazoa; Chordata; Actinopteri; Cichliformes; Cichlidae
Exons: 2
Source: RefSeq, a predicted model, not a curated record